GGACUACCAGGGUUUCUAAUCCCUUUCGCUACCCUGGCCUUCGUGCCUCAGCGUCAGAUACUGUCCAGUGACUCGCUUACGCCACGAGUGUUCCUCUCGAUAUCCACGCAUUUCACUGCUACACCGAGAAUUCCAGUCACCUCUCCAGUCCUCUAGUCCGGCAGUAUCGGAUGCAGUUCCGGGGUUGAGCCCCGGGAUUUCACAUCUGACUUACCAAACCGCCUACGCACCCUUUACGCCCAGUGAUUCCGAACAACGCUUGGGACCUUCGUAUUACCGCGGCUGCUGGCAC
Molecule: unclassified non-coding RNA, 292 nt
Filed under: uncultured Verrucomicrobiales bacterium
Lineage: Bacteria; Pseudomonadati; Verrucomicrobiota; Verrucomicrobiia; Verrucomicrobiales
Description: contains 16S-23S intergenic spacer region
Source: RNAcentral